GCGGUGAAAUUUCCGGGCUCAACCCGGAGUGUGCCGUUGAAACUGGCGAGCUAGAGUGCACAAGAGGCAGGCGGAAUGCGUGGUGUAGCGGUGAAAUGCAUAGAUAUCACGCAGAACCCCGAUUGCGAAGGCAGCCUGCUAGGGUGCGACAGACGCUGAGGCACGAAAGCGUGGGUAUCGAACAGGAUUAGAUACCCUGGUAGUCCACGCAGUAAACGAUGAAUACUAACUGUUUGCGAUACAAUGUAAGCGGUACAGCGAAAGCGUUAAGUAUUCCACCUGGGGAGUACGCCGGCAACGGUGAAACUCAAAGGAAUUGACGGGGGCCCGCACAAGCGGAGGAACAUGUGGUUUAAUUCGAUGAUACGCGAGGAACCUUACCCGGGCUCAAACGCAGGGGGAAUAUAUAUGAAAGUAUAUAGCUAGUAAUAGUCACCUGCGAGGUGCUGCAUGGUUGUCGUCAGCUCGUGCCGUGAGGUGUCGGCUUAAGUGCCAUAACGAGCGCAACCCCUAUCGACAGUUACUAACGGGUGAAGCCGAGGACUCUGUCGAGACUGCCGGCGCAAGCCGCGAGGAAGGUGGGGAUGACGUCAAAUCAGCACGGCCCUUACGUCCGGGGCGACACACGUGUUACAAUGGCAGGUACAGAAGGCAGCCAGUCAGCAAUGACGCGCGAAUCCCGAAAACCUGUCUCAGUUCGGAUUGGAGUCUGCAACCCGACUCCAUGAAGCUGGAUUCGCUAGUAAUCGCGCAUCAGCCAUGGCGCGGUGAAUACGUUCCCGGGCCUUGUACACACCGCCCGUCAAGCCAUGGAAGCCGGGAGUAAAAGAAGCAUGCAACCGCAAGGAGCGUACGAAGGUAAUCCC
This 866-nucleotide ribosomal RNA is filed under the name uncultured organism. RNAcentral describes it as "SSU rRNA". It matches the Rfam family "Bacterial small subunit ribosomal RNA", at positions 591 to 1469 of the family's 1533-position model. The record is from RNAcentral.